GAUCUGGGCAUGAGUAACUGUAAAGCCAGAUCAGGUUGCUCAAGCUCUUCUCCAAUUGAGUUUUGAAACUCUCCAUUUUGGAGUCUGGAAGCUGGAGGUUGCGGAGGAGUUUGCCAUGGCCAUCUACAAUGAAUCCAAGAACAAAAGGCUGUUCUUCCUGCCUGACUGUUUGAGCAACCUGUCACUAUUCAUCAGCAGGCUCUAACGUACACCAAAGUGGAAAAGAAGACGACAUGCCACCGAGGUGGUCAUUCCUUUUUCAAUUCAGUGCAUUUUGUACUGAACCAGGAAGAUAGAUGCACGAGGAGGCCUCCCAGCUGGGCUGGAGUUCUUGGGGCAUAACAGCUUCUGAAACCAUUCUUCCCAUCAGCUUUCCUCCUCCUCAGUCACUUCCUUGAAUAGUCGUUGAUGUAUGGCUACUGAAGAAGGAGAGAGGUUUUCUACCUGAGAAGCAGUUUUAAGCAGAUUUGGGGUGCUGCUCUAAGCAGUUCUGUUUGACCAAUGUUGGCAGAGACAGCAAGAAGCUCCCAACCAGGUCAAAGAAGUGAUGCCAGCCUCAAACAAGUCAUCUGAGGUUAACAAAAAUAAUUCCAGGAUAGCUACAGAAUGCAACUGAAACUGUUUUAAAAUAGAAGUCAAAGUGAUAAUAUUUCAAAGUGGAUCUCAGUUCCGUUGCAGUCCUGUUAACUUCCAUUAGGUUUUGGCCAAGCUUUUGCUGCAGACCAUAGCACCCAGCAGAUAGCUCUGAGGAACUCUUACCAGCAAGACAAAAGGUAGUGAAUGUUUGUUUUGGGGAAGGAAAAAGUCCAGCUAGAAAACUGAUAAAGCAAAAUAGUCUCAUGGAAACAGAACACACCGGGAUAUCAAAAGCAAUUAAAACAAACUUCUGUAAUCACGACUGUAAGCCAUUUGCCAAAGCUAAUAAAAGCAAGAGCAGAGUUAUCUGUUUAGAUCUGUGUGUUAGGCCAGUGUCACUGAUAACACCCAGCUGGAGGAAGAACAAAAUGAUGGAGCUGAGACUCUGAAGAGAAACCAUAGCCCCAUCCAUCUGGGCCAGGAGUCGUGGCAGGAUUCAGCCUUCCCUGAUGCCUGAGAAGUGUCGGCACAAGCUGAACCCAAAGCCUGAGUGAUGUUUUUCUUGCCACCCUGUGUUAACGUCUCCUUCAAGACAAGUUCAGUCAUAUUCUCAGGAACAGUUGUGCAGAGAGAGCACUGAAAGCCUGAGGGACAUUUCGGUAGCAAGCUACCCUUGGACUGGGACCGUCCUUGUGGUAUGGCACCAGGACUUUCUCAGGAGCUGACGAGUCCCAGAAGACCCUCACCUGCUUUCCCAGAGACCUGCCUAAAUUCAGAACCUCACUGCAGUCAGCAUUUCCUUUAAGACUUUCCCAGUUGUUGCUGAUUUGUUGCAAGAGUGUUUGUGUGCAGAUGCUCAGUUUGUUGUGCUAUGGCCAGCCCUCUCCUCCUGCCAUUCCUCCCACAAGGACGCACCAGCAGGUUUUGUGGUGAUGAAGCUUGGUGCCACCUGCGGAGCAGAUUGUGCAGCAUCUCUAAUUUAAUCAGGCAAAGGCAGGAAUCUGGCUAAGAAAAGAGAAAUUUUUGUUUCCACUCAAAUCCUUUGGGAAGCUGAGAUGAUGGAUGGAGAAAAAUGUCAGUGGGAUGUUAAGAAAAUACAGAUUUCAAAGUUUGCCAGUGUGUGGCAGUGGUCCUUUAGUAACUGCAGUCACAUGAAGCAAAACACUGUUAAGUUUCACUCUUCCCUGUGGAGGCCGACUUGGAAGAGGAGCCAGACAGCUGCUCAUUGGGCAUGCACAGGAUUCAAAACACUCUUUGAGACACCAAUUAAAUACAAACACGUUUAAAAAAAAAAAUCGCUGCAAGAUCCACAGUAGCUUGACCUGAGGUGCGACAGAAAUGAAUUGCUAAUAAAACGUGCCAAGGAGGAGCAGUUUAAAGGAUGCCUUUAACGCUUUUCACAAUAAAAUAGUUUUCACAAGCAGCUUAUAUAUCUCCCAGCCUCCCUUGGAUGUGUUGCUGCUGAGUGAUUCUGGAGUCAUUAAUGGAUUGCAAACUCCCUCCACCACCACCCCGCACUCUGCAACUAACUUCGGAUAGUUAACAGCUUAGUACCUUUCCAGAAAGAUAACCUU
Molecule: long non-coding RNA, 2150 nt
Organism: Cygnus atratus (black swan)
Lineage: Eukaryota; Metazoa; Chordata; Aves; Anseriformes; Anatidae
Exons: 3
Source: RefSeq, a predicted model, not a curated record